GCACAGCUGAGGAGUCCCAUAAUAGAACGAAACGGCCGUUCAGUGC
Molecule: non-coding RNA, 46 nt
Filed under: Schistosoma curassoni
Lineage: Eukaryota; Metazoa; Platyhelminthes; Trematoda; Strigeidida; Schistosomatidae
Source: RNAcentral